GUGCCAGCAGCCGCGGUAAUACGGAGGGUGCAAGCGUUAUUCGGAUUUAUUGGGCGUAAAGGGCGCGUAGGCGGUCUCUUAAGUCAGAUGUGAAAGCCCGGGGCUUAACCUCGGAAGUGCAUUUGAAACUACUAGACUUGAGAAUAGGAGAAGAGAGUGGAAUUCCUGGUGUAGUGGUGAAAUACGUAGAUAUCAGGAAGAAUACCAAUGGCGAAAGCAGCUCUCUAGCCUAAUUCUGACGCUGAGGUACGAAAGCUAGGGUAUCAAACGGGAUUAGAUACCCUAGUAGUCC
RNAcentral lists this ribosomal RNA (292 nucleotides) under uncultured bacterium. RNAcentral describes it as "partial 16S ribosomal RNA". It matches the Rfam family "Bacterial small subunit ribosomal RNA", at positions 505 to 796 of the family's 1533-position model. The record is from RNAcentral.